Molecule: ribosomal RNA, 786 nt
Filed under: uncultured marine microorganism
Description: bacterial SSU rRNA
Rfam family: Bacterial small subunit ribosomal RNA
Source: RNAcentral
AGAGUUUGAUCCUGGCUCAGAUUGAACGCUGGCGGCAGGCCUAACACAUGCAAGUCGAGCGGUAGAGAGGUGCUUGCACCUCUUGAGGGCGGCGGACGGGUGAGUAAUACCUAGGAAUCUGCCUGAUAGUGGGGGAUAACGUUCGGAAACGGACGCUAAUACCGCAUACGUCCUACGGGAGAAAGCAGGGGACCUUCGGGCCUUGCGCUAUCAGAUGAGCCUAGGUCGGAUUAGCUAGUUGGUGAGGUAAUGGCUCACCAAGGCUACGAUCCGUAACUGGUCUGAGAGGAUGAUCAGUCACACUGGAACUGAGACACGGUCCAGACUCCUACGGGAGGCAGCAGUGGGGAAUAUUGGACAAUGGGCGAAAGCCUGAUCCAGCCAUGCCGCGUGUGUGAAGAAGGUCUUCGGAUUGUAAAGCACUUUAAGUUGGGAGGAAGGGCAUUAACCUAAUACGUUAGUGUUUUGACGUUACCGACAGAAUAAGCACCGGCUAACUCUGUGCCAGCAGCCGCGGUAAUACAGAGGGUGCAAGCGUUAAUCGGAAUUACUGGGCGUAAAGCGCGCGUAGGUGGUUUGUUAAGUUGAAUGUGAAAUCCCCGGGCUCAACCUGGGAACUGCAUCCAAAACUGGCAAGCUAGAGUAUGGUAGAGGGUAGUGGAAUUUCCUGUGUAGCGGUGAAAUGCGUAGAUAUAGGAAGGAACACCAGUGGCGAAGGCGACUACCUGGACUGAUACUGACACUGAGGUGCGAAAGCGUGGGGAGCAAACAGGANUAGAUACCCUG